GUGAGGAAUAUUGCGCAAUGGAGGCAACUCUGACGCAGCCAUGCCGCGUGCAGGAAGAAGGCGCUACGCGUUGUAAACUGCUUUUAACCGGGAAGAAACCCCAGGACGUGUCCUGGGUUGACGGUACCGGAGGAAUAAGCACCGGCUAACUUCGUGCCAGCAGCCGCGGUAAUACGAAGGGUGCAAGCGUUAUCCGGAUUCAUUGGGUUUAAAGGGUGCGUAGGCGGAGCGUUAAGUCAGUGGUGACAUCCUGCAGCUUAACUGUAGACUUGCCAUUGAUACUGGCGCUCUGUAGUGCGCUUGAAGUGGGCGGAAUGUGCCGUGUAGCGGUGAAAUGCUUAGAUAUGGCACAGAACACCAAUUGCGAAAGCAGCUCACUAAGGCGAUACUGACGCUGAGGCACGAAAGCGUGGGGAUCGAACAGGAUUAGAAACCCCAGUAGUCC
This 445-nucleotide ribosomal RNA is filed under the name uncultured bacterium. Its description in RNAcentral is "partial 16S ribosomal RNA". It matches the Rfam family "Bacterial small subunit ribosomal RNA", at positions 354 to 796 of the family's 1533-position model. The record is from RNAcentral.